UUAAUUGAAGAGUUUGAUCAUGGCUCAGAUUGAACGCUGGCGGCAGGCCUAACACAUGCAAGUCGAGCGGCAGCGACAUAAACAAUCCUUCGGGUGCGUUUGUGGGCGGCGAGCGGCGGACGGGUGAGUAAUGCCUGGGAAUAUGCCCUGAUGUGGGGGAUAACCAUUGGAAACGAUGGCUAAUACCGCAUAAUCUCCUUUCUUUWRSKAGARGGGAGCAAAGAGGGGGACCUUCGGGCCUCUCGCGUCAGGAUUAGCCCAGGUGGGAUUAGCUAGUUGGUGGGGUAACGGCUCACCAAGGCGACGAUCCCUAGCUGGUCUGAGAGGAUGAUCAGCCACACUGGAACUGAGACACGGUCCAG
This 362-nucleotide ribosomal RNA is filed under the name Photobacterium alginatilyticum. Its description in RNAcentral is "bacterial SSU rRNA". The record is from RNAcentral. Lineage: Bacteria; Pseudomonadati; Pseudomonadota; Gammaproteobacteria; Vibrionales; Vibrionaceae.